CUGCAUGUCACGUGACAGCUAGAUGACAUAACAUAACCCAGAAUGGAAAGUCACAACGGCGGCCUGGAUCCAUGAUCAGGCUACACAGCACCGCCAAGGCUUGACGGAGACAUGUAUAGGAUAGAUAAUUAAGUCGGAGUAAAAGAAAGUGAAGGAAGAGAAAAAAUGGAAAGAGAAGUGAAAGAAAGUAUCAGUGAGAGACUUUCUUGUUUAGAUGAUCUCUACUUUCCUCGCGCUCUUCAAUCCAACGCCACUACCCCCUCUCAACGCAAGUCUAUUCUCCUCGACCUCCUCUCCCGGGACGCCGCCGUUUUCCUAGAAAGAUAUGGAUCGCAGUUGACUUGUGAUGAGCUUGGCAAGUUUGAUGCACUCAACAAUGACUAUGAGAUUAAUUGGCACUUAAAAAAUCUUAGGAGCAAGAUGAACCCUACUUCAGAAGAGUUGCGGUCUAGGUCGGUGACUGUGAAGAACAGGAGGCUAGCAUAUCUUAAUCAAUUAGUACGGGAUGGUCAGUACUUUUCAGAGGAUGCAAUGAGGGAGAGGGAGCCGUAUUUGCAUCAUGAGUAUGUGGGGAAGUUUCAGGAUUUGACUGGGAGGAAUAUGGCGAGGCCAGGGGAGAGGUGGUCAGAGACUUUAAUCAGGCGAUCUGAGGAAGCAAUUUUGGUGGCAAAGAUUAGGGAGGAGCAGCAGAGGUUAGGUGUGGCUGAGAGUGAUUGGAUUGGGAAUGAAAGAAACCAAGAAGAAGAAGAAGAAGAAGAAGAAGAAGAGGAAGAAGAGGAAGAAGAGGAAGAGGAGGAAGAGGAAAAGAAAGAGAAAGAUGCUGAGAAAAAAUCUAACGGGGCUAUGCACGACACAGAGAUGCUCGUAGAUGAUUCUGAAGCACACAGUGGUAGGAAAACCAUGGAAGAAACUGAAGAUAUGAUGGGCCAGUUCACUUACAUUAUGCAGCAGAAGUUUCUUUCAGGUGAAGAUCAUCAGCAUUUUGAUUACUCAAAAAUAGAUAACGAUGAGACCUUGGAUGAUCACUGGCUCAGGGAAGUUAGCCAGGAUGCUGAGGAGAAGUAUUUUGCUGAAGAUUGAGAAGAAUGACUGUUGCAUUUGUUGUUUUUUGUUUUUAACUGAUCAUGUAUUUCCUGUUAACAUUAAAAAUGGACUUCCUCAAUCCUCUGAAGAUGGGAAUAAAUGUCUUGCCUAGUGGUUGUGGUUCUGUGUAUUAUGUUUGAAGGAGAAACUCACCAGGGAAAAGGAGAAAAUAAAAAGUUCAAAACAAGUAGGACUAAAGCAGACAGAUUGAAGGGAGUAGAAAUUUGUGCAAAUCAGAAUCCAACAAAUCAACAGAAAGCUAGAUGCUACAAGAUCACGUGUUGAUGAGAAGGCUAUGAUCACAAGCUAGUUAAAGCUGAUCCAAUCCGGCCACCAACUGCCACCUCAGCACUGGUCAAGGUGAACAUUUUUAUUCCAUUUGUGAUGCAUAUGUUGAAAAUUUUGAGCAAUUACAUUUUAGACUAAAGUGGGGAAGGAAACUCAUGUAACUGUUGGAUGUAGUUUAUUCAUGAAAAGCAAGACACUGUAGUUCAAAAAGUAGCUCACAUGGAUGCAUAUGGUUCUUAAAGAUAGUGAGGUGUGUAAAAAAUUUAGGCAAAUUCGUCAACUAUGGUGAUUUGCAGGAUAAUGUUUGUGGGUAAAUGAGAUGCUGUGGUUGGGGGUUAUGUUGAAGUGAUUUGGAAAUGCAAAUUCUGACCAAAACUCCACAGAAUGUCAUCCUGUUGCUCUGCCCUAGUGGAAGAAUGAAUUUUCGCAAAAAGAAUGAAAUAGAAAGGGUUUAGGGUUCCGUCUGAGGAUGAAAUAUGCCAUUCCUUUUGUUUUGAAAACUUUACUUCAUCAUAGCAGAUUAUCUUUAUUCAAGUCUAUGCCAGAUCAGCAUGACCAAGUAGCAGAAAAGGUAGAGAUUCCUUUUGUAGUCCAUUCACACUUGAUCAACUUUUGUGUUGUUGCAAGGACACGUUAUCGAAAUCUUUUCGCCUGUGUCAGGGUAGUUUGACACACUUCCAGUAGUGCUUGAAUGUUCACCCUAUGAAAAUUUCAGCAUAGUUAUUUUAUGUGUAGAAAAUUUCCCUGCUAUUUCAAGCAAUUGUUCUAUAUAUUUCACAAAUUCUUGUCGAGACUUCAA
Mangifera indica (mango) is the source of this 2170-nucleotide RNA transcript. It is a transcript of the gene named coiled-coil domain-containing protein 97, with no coding region annotated. The transcript has 4 exons. NCBI's taxonomy places the organism in Eukaryota, Viridiplantae, Streptophyta, Magnoliopsida, Sapindales, Anacardiaceae. The record is from RefSeq and is a predicted model, not a curated record.